AGGUGGCUCAAUGGAUAGAGUACCAGUCCUGGAGACUGGAGAUCUGGGUUCAAAUCUAGCCU
This 62-nucleotide transfer RNA is filed under the name Monodelphis domestica (gray short-tailed opossum). It matches the Rfam family "tRNA", at positions 5 to 66 of the family's 71-position model. Rfam says of the family: Transfer RNA (tRNA) molecules are approximately 80 nucleotides in length. Their secondary structure includes four short double-helical elements and three loops (D, anti-codon, and T loops). Lineage: Eukaryota; Metazoa; Chordata; Mammalia; Didelphimorphia; Didelphidae. The record is from Rfam by way of RNAcentral.